RNAcentral lists this ribosomal RNA (334 nucleotides) under uncultured bacterium. RNAcentral describes it as "partial 16S ribosomal RNA". It matches the Rfam family "Bacterial small subunit ribosomal RNA", at positions 338 to 670 of the family's 1533-position model. The record is from RNAcentral.
CCUACGGGUGGCUGCAGUGAGGAAUAUUGGUCAAUGGCCGGGAGCCUGAACCAGCCAAGCCGCGUGAGGGACGAAGGUCCCAAGCAUUGUAAACUUCUUUUGUCAAGGGAGAAAAUCAGUCACGAGAGCAUGGCCGAGGGUACUUGAAGAAAAAGCAUCGGCUAACUCCGUGCCAGCAGCCGCGGUAAUACGGAGGAUGCGAGCGUUAUCCGGAUUUAUUGGGUUUAAAGGGUGCGUAGGCGGCCUUUUAAGUCAGCGGUAAAAUCCCGGGGCUUCACCCCGGUGAGCCUUUGACACUGGCGGGCUUGAGAAGUGGCGAGGUAGGCGGAAUGCG